RNAcentral lists this ribosomal RNA (494 nucleotides) under Ectophoma multirostrata. RNAcentral's name for it is "eukaryotic LSU rRNA". The stretch from base 179 to 332 matches the Rfam family "5.8S ribosomal RNA". The record is from RNAcentral. Lineage: Eukaryota; Fungi; Ascomycota; Dothideomycetes; Pleosporales; Didymellaceae.
AUGAUCUUCCGUAGGGUGAACCUGCGGAAGGAUCAUUACCUAGAGUUGUAGGCUUUGCCUGCUAUCUCUUACCCAUGUCUUUUGAGUACCUUCGUUUCCUCGGCGGGUCCGCCCGCCGAUUGGACACAUUUAAACCCUUUGUAGUUGCAAUCAGCGUCUGAAAAACUUUAAUAGUUACAACUUUCAACAACGGAUCUCUUGGUUCUGGCAUCGAUGAAGAACGCAGCGAAAUGCGAUAAGUAGUGUGAAUUGCAGAAUUCAGUGAAUCAUCGAAUCUUUGAACGCACAUUGCGCCCCUUGGUAUUCCAUGGGGCAUGCCUGUUCGAGCGUCAUUUGUACCUUCAAGCUUUGCUUGGUGUUGGGUGUUUGUCUCGCCUCUGCGCGCAGACUCGCCUCAAAACAAUUGGCAGCCGGCGUAUUGAUUUCGGAGCGCAGUACAUCUCGCGCUUUGCACUCAUAACGACGACGUCCAAAAAGUACAUUUUUUACACUCU